Molecule: ribosomal RNA, 827 nt
Filed under: uncultured bacterium
Lineage: Bacteria
Description: bacterial SSU rRNA
Rfam family: Bacterial small subunit ribosomal RNA
Source: RNAcentral
AGUGGCGUACGGGUGAGUAACACGUGGGUAAUCUACCUCCGGGUGGGGAAUAACGCUGGGAAACCGGCGCUAAUACCGCAUAAGCUCGAGAGAGGAAAGCAGCAAUGCGCCGGGAGAGGAGCCCGCGGCCGAUUAGCUAGUUGGUGAGGUAACGGCCCACCAAGGCAAAGAUCGGUAGCCGGCCUGAGAGGGCACACGGCCACACUGGCACUGAAACACGGGCCAGACUCCUACGGGAGGCAGCAGUGGGGAAUCUUGCACAAUGGGGGAAACCCUGAUGCAGCGACGCCGCGUGAGCGAUGAAGCCCCUCGGGGUGUAAAGCUCUUUCGGCAGGGAAGACUAUGACGGUACCUGCAGAAGCAGCUGCGGCUAACUACGUGCCAGCAGCCGCGGUAAUACGUAGGCAGCGAGCGUUGUUCGGAGUUACUGGGCGUAAAGGGUGUGUAGGCGGUUCUCCAAGUUUGGUGUGAAAUCUCCCGGCUCAACUGGGAGGGUGCGCCGAAAACUGGGGGGCUAGAGUGCGGGAGGGGAGAGUGGAAUUCCUGGUGUAGCGGUGAAAUGCGUAGAUAUCAGGAGGAACACCGGUGGUGCAGACGGCUCUCUGGACCGUAACUGACGCUGAGACACGAAAGCGUGGGUAGCAAACAGGAUUAGAUACCCUGGUAGUCCACGCCCUAAACGAUGCAUAUUUGGUGUAGGUCAUUCAGUUGAUCUGUGCCGGAGCUAACGCGUUAAAUAUGCCGCCUGGGGAGUACAGUCGCAAGGCUGAAACUCAAAGGAAUUGACGGGGGCCCGCACAAGCGGUGGAGCAUGUGGUUCAAUUCGA